GAGGGUAUAGUUCAAGUGGUAGAGUGCAUGCUUAGCAUGCACAAGGUCCUGGGUUCAAUCCCCAGUACCUCCU
RNAcentral lists this transfer RNA (73 nucleotides) under Camelus bactrianus (Bactrian camel). It matches the Rfam family "tRNA". From Rfam's summary of the family: Transfer RNA (tRNA) molecules are approximately 80 nucleotides in length. Their secondary structure includes four short double-helical elements and three loops (D, anti-codon, and T loops). Lineage: Eukaryota; Metazoa; Chordata; Mammalia; Artiodactyla; Camelidae. The record is from Rfam by way of RNAcentral. RNAcentral also lists the same sequence under 3 other names.